RNAcentral lists this non-coding RNA (183 nucleotides) under Verrucomicrobiota bacterium. RNAcentral describes it as "Verrucomicrobia bacterium 6S RNA". It matches the Rfam family "6S / SsrS RNA". Rfam says of the family: E. coli 6S RNA was the first non coding RNA to be sequenced, but its function was unknown until recently. It consists of 184 nucleotides that fold into an extended hairpin structure with a large single-stranded internal bulge. The 6S RNA specifically associates with RNA polymerase holoenzyme containing the sigma70 specificity factor. The record is from RNAcentral. Lineage: Bacteria; Pseudomonadati; Verrucomicrobiota.
CGCGCCCUGCAGUGUUCGUGCUGCGAACUGAUACGCUCUUUGCCUACUCAAUUAUUAAGGGAGCUGCCCCUUGCGGGGAGAUGUUAUGCCGCACACCGGACAACAGAUGCCCGCAAGGAUGUUCCCACCUUGCCUGGACUAGGUUCUGGGGCUUGUGAGCACACGGCACAACGUGGGGCGCGA